This 5561-nucleotide long non-coding RNA is filed under the name Malus domestica (apple). Its description in RNAcentral is "long non-coding RNA (MDOM_LNC016527)". The record is from RNAcentral. Lineage: Eukaryota; Viridiplantae; Streptophyta; Magnoliopsida; Rosales; Rosaceae.
GAUAGAAAUAAAAGAACAAUGCAGGAAUUUAAAAGGGAGAGAAAGAGAGAAGUCGAAGAUAGGGAAGAGAAGGGUUCCUUUUUCAUUCAUAACCCCUCGGGCUGAGUUUAACAUAUAUAUAUAACAAGCCAAUAAAGGGAAACCCUAGCUACGACGCUUGGGCUUGAAGCCAAGACAAAGUAAAUAUUAACGAAAGGCCUGGGACUGAAGAAGAGGGGUAAGGCCCAACAGUAAGGUCCUAACAACUCCCCCCUUUCUUGAGAAGGAACCUGUCCUCAGGUUCGAAAGGCGGGAUAGCGGGCGAUGAUCUCGUCGGCGUCCUCCCCAUGUGGCAUCUUCUGCAGGAAGGCCGGACCACUGUAUGAGCCAUUUGGUGACUGCAACGUUCUUCUUCUUGAACAUCCCUCUGUCUAAAACCUUCUCAGGUUGCCAAUGCAAGUGACCUGUAGAGUCAAUAGGUGGCAGGAUUGGAGUAGGAGAAUGGCAGCGCCGAUCUUCUUCUUGAGCAGAGAGACAUGGAAGACUGGGUGUAUUUUUGAGUCAGGAGGAAAAUGCAAAUGGUAAGCCACUUGACCUAUACAAGCUUUCACCUGGAACGGGCCAUAAAACUUGGGUGCAAGUUUGUUGAAAUGCCAAGUGGCCACAGAUUGCUGGCGAUAUGGCUGGAGCUUGAGAUAGACCCAAUCACCCACAUUGAAUUGGCGUUCCGUUCGUCUUUUAUCGUAAACUUGUUUCAUUCGAUUCUAUGCCAGUUGCAAAUUAGCACGCAAGAGACGGAGUAGCUUGUCACGGUCCUGCAACGCCACAUCAACCGAGUGAACGACCAUAGUUCCAGGGAUGUAGGAGGUAAUGGUUGGGGGUGGUAGUCCAUAUAGCGCUUGAAAGGGGGACAUUUUUAUGGCAUAUUGAAAAGUGGUGUUGUACCACCACUCAGCCCAUGGAAGAAGAGUAACCCACUUGUGAGGAUGAUCUGCGGAAAAACAUCGAGGAAAUGCUCGAGUGUGCGGUUUAGGACUUCUGAUUGGCCAUCAAAUUGCGGGUGGUAUACGGAGCUACAACACAGUUUGGUGCCCUGUUUGCUGAAAAACUCUUGCCAAAAGUGACUUAGAAAAGUUGGGUCAUGAUCCGAUACAAUUGAUUUUGGCAUGCCAUGGAGACGAAAGAUUUCCUUGAUGAAUGUGUCAGCAACUGUUGCAACCGUGUAUGGGUGCUUCAGUGGGAUGAAAUGGCCAUAUUUGGUGAGGCGGUCUACAACGACCAAAAUGACUGUGUAGCCAUUGGAAGACGGUAAGCCUUCGACGAAGUCAAGAGCGAUAUCCUGCCAUAUGUCGGCGGGAAUGGGGAGCGGUUGCAGGAGACUUGGUGGGUGAAUAGUCUCAUGAUUCUGACGUUGGCAUUCCGAGCAUGUGGCUACAAAAGUUUUACAUCCUUACGAAUGCCUGGCCAAAGAAAGUUACGAGAGACUCGGUUGUAAGUACGGAGAAAGCCGGAGUGGCCACCUUGCAGCGAGAAGUGGAAUUCGUCAAGGAUCUUUGGCCUCCAUUGGGAUGUAAGGGGAACAAAAAUUCUCUGUUUGUAAUGAAGGACACCAUUGACAAGUGUGAAGCCCUGCACACUACUGUUUGGUGUUUGGAGUAGUGAAGGCCAAAGUGUUUGAACCUGAGGGUCUGUAGCAUAUGAUUGUUGCAGUUCUGGUAUACAAUCAAACACUGGAGAGGACAACCCCAUAAGAGGCAGCAGCUCAUGUUGGCGAGAUAGUGCAUCCGGAGCUCCGUUUUGGGAACCCAGUCUGUAGUCCACUGUGUAAUUAUAACCAAGCAGCUUAACAAGCCAUUUGUGUUGUUGUGGAGUUGUGAUACGUUGCUCAAGGAAGAAUUUGAUGGGUUUGUGAUCAGUGACAAUCCCAAAUUGUUGACCCAAGAGAUAAUGGCGCCAAUGUUGUACAGCAAAGACGAUGGCAAACAUUUCCUUGUCAUACGUAGAGAGAUCGAGAUUCCGACCAGACAAUGCCUUACUGAGGUAAGCUAUGGGAUGAUCUUCUUAGCAUAAGACCGCACCUAUACCCAUACUAGAUGCAUCGGUUUCCACUAUUAACUGUUUGGUGAAAUCGGGGAGAGCAAGCACGGGUGUGGUUACGAGUGCUUGCUUGAGCUUGUUGAAUGCAGCAAUGGAGUCUGGUGUCCAAGAGAAAUUGACUUGUUUUAACAUCUCAGUCAAGGGCUUUGCAAUCAAGCCAUAAUGACGUACGAACUUCCGAUAUUAACCCGUGAGACCCAAGAAUCCACGAAGGCCUUUGAGAGACUGCGGUUGAGACCAUUUUGUGAUGGCAUGAACCUUAGAAUUGUCCACGGCUACACCUUGGCCUGAGAUAAAGUGACCCAAAUAGUCAAUCUUAGCUUGCCCGAAGGAACAUUUGCUAAGUUUUAACCUCAAGCUGUGAGUAGACAAAACUUGAAAAACAUUCUCCAAAUGGGAGAGGUGAGUAGCCAAUGAGGGACUAUAGAUAAGGAUAUCAUAAAAAAAAACCAAGACAAACUUACGUAAGUAUGGCCGAAAAAUGGAAUUCAUCAAAGCUUGAAAAGUUGAUGGAGCAUUGGAUAAGCCGAAUGGCAUCACCAAGAAUUCGAAAUGGCCGUCGUGUGUUCGAAAUGCGGUUUUUGGGAUAUCCUCAGCACACAUUCGGAUCUGGUGGUAACCUGACCGAAGGUCAAGCUUAGAAAAUAUAGCUGCCCCAUGUAAUUCGUCGAGUAACUCAUCCACAAUUGGUAUUGGGAAACGGUCCUUGAUGGUUGCUGCAUUCAAAGCUCGAUAGUCAAUACAAAGUCGCCAUGAGUCAUCUUUCUUUUUGACAAGGAGAACGGGGGAGGAAAAUGGACUAUUGCUAUUUCGAAUUACUCCCGAUUGUAGGAGUUCCUGCACUUGUUUUUCAAUUUCAGCUUUGUGGGAGUGUGGGUAUCGAUAGGGACGGACCAAAGUAGGUGUAGUGUUGGGGAAGAUUGGAAUUUUAUGGUCUAUGUGGCGUUGGGGUGGGAGGCCCGAAGGUAUGGCAAAAAGAUGGUGGUAUUGUGUUAGGAGGGAAAGAAUGGCUGAUGGGGUAUUUGGUGGAGGAGAGAUAGAGGGUGCUGUAGGUGGGGUUGGUUGGGAAUUGGGAUGGUGGGGUGGGUAAGUGGGUUGCAAUGAGUGAUAGGUGCGAAAAGGUGGAGUGGCUUUGACUAAUCCUUGAAGAGUGUGGGUAUGGCCCUGGACAUUGAAUAUCAUAGUUUUAUGUUUGAAGUGCCACCCUAUAAAACCGAGAGACUCCAACCACUCAGACCCCAAGAUAAGUUCAUAGCCAGGUAUGUUCAAAAGGAGGAAUGAACCGUGAAGGGUGUAGCCUUGCAUUUUUACAACCACAUCAUGAACUCGGAGAAAGUAGCAACUCGAGUGUGAGAGGCAGUGGUGAAAUGGACUGGGGCAAUAUGUUCAAUUGGCAGGCCUAGGUGGUGUGCAAUAUUUGUAUGGAGCAAAUUGCAAGCAGCUCUGAAAUCGAUUAAGACCGUAACUGGAAGGGAGUUGAUGGAGCCGUGCAAUCGCAUUGGUUGACCCAUGCUAAGUCCAGGGAGCUGAAAGAGCUCGAGCAUGUGGCAUGGGGGAUCGGGAGGGAGCUCUUCCUCCGAUUGGCAGUCAUGAAUUCAGGAGAUUCAUCCUCAGUGGUAGGAGAAUCAAGCAUCACAAUCAUAGGAACUUUGCAUUUGUGUCCUGGGAUAUGGGGUUCUGUGCAAUGGAAGCAUUCGCGUUUGCGGAUUUUUUCUUGAACCUCGGUUGGGGUUAAUCGUUUAAAAGGAGGGGUUUGGGUUUGUGGGGGUUUUGGGGAGGAGAUGGCAGGGAUGGAGGUGGGGUUGGAUGGUUUGGGAAAGUUAUGGGAAAGGUAUGGCCGUGAGUAAUUUGGGCGAGAAGUUCUUUUGGAGUGAUUUUUGGUUUCAAAAAUUUUGGCCAAUUUUUGAGCUUGGUGUAAGGACAUCAUGUCGAAUAUCCUCUUUCAGUCCCCCUAAGAAAACAUGUUUGAGCUGAUUUUCUGUCCAAUCAAUUACCCUACAGGAGAGUUUAGUAAACUCUGCUAUAUAGUCAUCCACAGUGCCAAUUUGUUGUAUAUGGGUGAGCUGGGAUUCAAUAUUUGCUCGAUCACCCCCACCAAAAUGUUGAAGCAACAAGUUAACAAAUAAACCCCAAUUAUCUCUGCCGUGCCUUUGUUCAAAACCGCUCAUCCAAAUAGAGGCAUAUGCACCAAAAUUACAAGCUGCAACAAGGACCCAUUAUUGAGAGGGGACCUUGUAAUAGUCGAGAUAUUGUUCCGCCAUGGCCAACCACCCGUAAGGGUCUUCCCCAGUGAAACGCGGGAGUUCUAUUUUGAUGGGUUUGAAGUUGUGGGAAGGGUGUUGGGAAGUGUAUGGUGUUGGGUGGGUGUGGUGAGUAGAAGGAGGGGUGGGGGACGGGGAAAUAUGGAAGGAGUGAGAAGUAUAUGGUGUUGGGUGGGUGUGGGUGUAAGGGUGCGGUGAGUAAUGAGAUGAAGAGGCUGGGUUUGGUUACGAGUGGGUCGGCCUGGGUGUGAUAGUAAUAGGGGAUGGUGUGGGCCGGGUUGAGGGGGUGUAGGUAGGGAGUGGGUUGAGGUUAGGUGGGUUAGAGAGGCCCAGGCUCAUAGGAGAAGAACUUGGUGCGGGAAAUAGGGAGCGGAAUGAGGGUUGCAGAUUGGAGGUAGAGGCUCUCGGGUUAAGGGUAGGGUUUGGGUGGACGGAGGUUGCGGGGGUAGAAGUGGGUAGGACAGUAGUGGUCGAGGUUGGUGGGAGGGCUGAUUUGAGGUGGCGCAGCUCCUCUAACAGUACGGUUUGAAAAGAUGCAAACUGGGAAGUCAUGGUGGUUUGGAAAGCUGUGUUGGAAUCGCUGAGUUGGUCUAAGGAUUUCUGGAAUGAAGCUUGCUGAUUUUCCAGAAUGGCGAUUGUGUCACAUACAUCCUCGACUUGGUUACGGAGGUGCUCGUGACGAACAUCCACCGCAGCGACGACGAUGUUGGGGUCAGAGCUAGCGGAUUGUGUGUUUUUGCCCAUCUGUUGAAGGGCUCUGAUACCAAUUGGUACGCCCUAAUCGGCUCAGAAGCUGAUAUUGAUAGAAAUAAAAGAACAAUGCAGGAAUUUAAAAGGGAGAGAAAGAGAGAAGUCGAAGAUAGGGAAGAUAAGGGUUCCUUUUUCAUUCAUAACCCCUCGGGCUGAGUUUAACAUAUAUAUAUAACAAGCCAAUAAAGGGAAACCCUAGCUACGGGGCUUGGGCUUGAAGCUAAGACAAAGUAAAUAUUAACGAAAGGCCUAGGACUGAAGAAGAGGGGUAAGGCCCAACAGUAAGGUCCUAACAGUUGUAAGGUUUCUUGGAUCUUGAUCUUUGUUCUUGACUGUUAAUUUCUCAUGAAUUUGUUGUUUUCGGGUGGAAAUUUGGCAUAUGUUCUAUUUCUGUUGAUGUUUGGGUAGUUCUUGCAUCUUUUGGAAGAAUUUCUUCUUCAAAAUUGUUCUAUUUCUGUCGAUAGUUGAUGAUUU